UCAAACUUGGUCAUUUAGAGGAAGUAAAAGUCGUAACAAGGUUUCCGUAGGUGAACCUGCGGAAGGAUCAUUAAUAAUCUUUUUAAACUCUUCAUUUUUGGGGGGGUUCAUUUGUAUUCAAAUUCCACUCUUAAAAAUUUAACCUUAUUAUAUAAUACAUGUGAUAAUACAUGAUAAAAAGACAACUUUCAACAACGGAUCUCUUGGCUGUGUAUAAGAGACAGUCAAACUUGGUCAUUUAGAGGAAGUAAAAGUCGUAACAAGGUUUCCGUAGGUGAACCUGCGGAAGGAUCAUUAAUAAUCUUUUUAAACUCUUCAUUUUUGGGGGGGUUCAUUUGUAUUCAAAUUCCACUCUUAAAAAUUUAACCUUAUUAUAUAAUACAUGUGAUAAUACAUGAUAAAAAGACAACUUUCAACAACGGAUCUCUUGGCUCUCGCAUCGAUGAAGAACGCAGC
This 456-nucleotide unclassified non-coding RNA is filed under the name uncultured fungus. RNAcentral's name for it is "partial contains small subunit ribosomal RNA, internal transcribed spacer 1, and 5.8S ribosomal RNA". The stretch from base 1 to 73 matches the Rfam family "Eukaryotic small subunit ribosomal RNA", at positions 1759 to 1831 of the family's 1831-position model. Lineage: Eukaryota; Fungi. The record is from RNAcentral.